This 465-nucleotide ribosomal RNA is filed under the name Vreelandella stevensii. RNAcentral describes it as "partial 16S ribosomal RNA". It matches the Rfam family "Bacterial small subunit ribosomal RNA", at positions 338 to 795 of the family's 1533-position model. The record is from RNAcentral. Lineage: Bacteria; Pseudomonadati; Pseudomonadota; Gammaproteobacteria; Oceanospirillales; Halomonadaceae.
CCUACGGGAGGCUGCAGUGGGGAAUAUUGGACAAUGGGGGCAACCCUGAUCCAGCCAUGCCGCGUGUGUGAAGAAGGCCCUCGGGUUGUAAAGCACUUUCAGUGAGGAAGAACGCCUGGUGGUUAAUACCCAUCAGGAAAGACAUCACUCACAGAAGAAGCACCGGCUAACUCCGUGCCAGCAGCCGCGGUAAUACGGAGGGUGCGAGCGUUAAUCGGAAUUACUGGGCGUAAAGCGCGCGUAGGUGGCGUGAUAAGCCGGUUGUGAAAGCCCCGGGCUCAACCUGGGAACGGCAUCCGGAACUGUCAAGCUAGAGUGCAGGAGAGGAAGGUAGAAUUCCCGGUGUAGAGGUGAAAUGCGUAGAGCUCGGGAGGAAUACCAGUGGCGAAGGCGGCCUUCUGGACUGACACUGACACUGAGGUGCGAAAGCGUGGGUAGCAAACAGGAUUAGAUACCCCGGUAGUC